AAACUGUAUAAGCUCAACUGCACUAACUGGAGCUACGCCCAUAUUAACUGUAAUUCCAACUAUAAAUUACUGUUAUAACUAUAUACAAAUAUAAAUAGGUAAACUUCAAAUACCUUUCCUGUAGUUUCGCACUUUCCCACUUUAGUACCAUGUGGUCUAAAGUAUAUCAAGUUAGUGUCUGUGGUAUUAUUUUUAUUUUUUCGUCAGUUUUUCUAUUAAUAUUUCGUUAAAUUAUAUACAAAAAAAACUUCAGAUACUCCACCUAGAUUUAUCGAAUAUUCACUUUAGUAUCUUUUACUUUUAACUUUGUCACUGAUUUAACGAAAAAAAUUAGUAGAAUCGAUAAUAAAAAGAUAAAAAUGCAACCAUAGGGCAAUAAAUUAAUACACUUUAAAAUACAGGAUACUAAAGUGAGGAAGUGUGAAACCAUAGGGAUGAUAUUUGAAGUUUUCUCAAUAUAAAUUUGACAUUUGGUUAGAUGUAAUUGAAUUUUACUGUUACAGUUGGAAUUGCAUAAGAAAACUCAACUACACUAGUUGGAGCUAAGUCCAUAUAUAUUAACCAUAGUUCUAACUAUAAUAGUUGACUAGAGUAAUUUGAACUCAAAAAUAAACUUACUUUCAUAAUAACCUUUCGGAUAGAAAAUAAAUUUUUU
RNAcentral lists this long non-coding RNA (655 nucleotides) under Ananas comosus (pineapple). Its description in RNAcentral is "long non-coding RNA (ACOM_LNC042710)". The record is from RNAcentral. Lineage: Eukaryota; Viridiplantae; Streptophyta; Magnoliopsida; Poales; Bromeliaceae.